Molecule: non-coding RNA, 86 nt
Filed under: Phytopseudomonas flavescens
Lineage: Bacteria; Pseudomonadati; Pseudomonadota; Gammaproteobacteria; Pseudomonadales; Pseudomonadaceae
Source: RNAcentral
CGUUAUGGGCGGGCCGUAUGUGGGCAUCUUCGGAUGCGCCGGAUCCACUAGCCGGUACGCCAACCCAUACGGUUCCGCCCACCCUG